This 491-nucleotide ribosomal RNA is filed under the name uncultured bacterium. Its description in RNAcentral is "partial 16S ribosomal RNA". It matches the Rfam family "Bacterial small subunit ribosomal RNA", at positions 29 to 506 of the family's 1533-position model. The record is from RNAcentral.
AGUGAACGCUGGCGGUAGGCCUAACACAUGCAAGUCGAACGGCAGCACAGUAAGAGCUUGCUCUUACGGGUGGCGAGUGGCGGACGGGUGAGGAAUACAUCGGAAUCUACUUUUUCGUGGGGGAUAACGUAGGGAAACUUACGCUAAUACCGCAUACGACCUACGGGUGAAAGCAGGGGAUCUUCGGACCUUGCGCGAUUGAAUGAGCCGAUGUCGGAUUAGCUAGUUGGCGGGGUAAAGGCCCACCAAGGCGACGAUCCGUAGCUGGUCUGAGAGGAUGAACAGCAACACUGGAACUGGGAGACGUUCCAGAAUCCUACGGGAGGCAGCAGUGGGAAAUAUUGGACUAUGGGCGCAAGCCUGAUGCAGCAAUCCCGAGUGGGUGAAGAAGGACUUCGGGUUGUAAAGCCCUUUUGUUGGGAAAGAAAAGCAGCAGGUUAAUACCCCGCUGUUCUGACGGUACCCAAAGAAUAAGCACCGGCUAACUUCGU